RNAcentral lists this long non-coding RNA (790 nucleotides) under Prunus dulcis (almond). RNAcentral's name for it is "sRNA ncRNA". The record is from RNAcentral. Lineage: Eukaryota; Viridiplantae; Streptophyta; Magnoliopsida; Rosales; Rosaceae.
CAUGUAUAGACAAAAUCCCUUCUUUGAUAGAUCUCAAGGAAAUUAAUUCUCUCUUCUUUCUUGACAUAAGGGGGAAGAGAGGCCAUCUUUUUGCUAGUCAUUUGUAAAUAGAAUCCAUUGAACAGAAGCCCCUUUUCUUCUCCAAGUCCAAGCAUAAAUGGCUAAGGAGAUGAAGAAUUUGACUGGAUGGAUGGAGGUUCUUCCAGCCCCCACCAUUUACCCACAAAAGCCUUCGAAUUCACCUGGUUUGGAGACAAUUUUCGAAGAGAGCAUCGAAGAAUCUGACGACGAUUCAUAACUUUUUUACCUCAUCUUGAUUCUUUGGUUAUGGAUCCUUGAUGAUCACAUAUUUGAAAAUGCUUUGCUUUGGAUGUGUCUCGCUACGCCUCGGCUUUGGUUCGGUGGAAUGCUUUGAUCAGAGCUAUGAUCUAGCCAUCUGAAAGACCAGAAAUGGAUCAGGGAAGCAACUGCAAUGGUUUAGAUAAUGAAUGGCUUCAAUUCUAUCCUUCUGACCAAUGCAGUGGGAGUUCUUCCUCUCUGAACAUUGUCUAAUGAACCCUGUAUUGUAAAUAUGCAAUUACUUUCCAUCUUCUUGUAUGUAAAAAAAGUACCAAAAUAAUUAUACGUGUCAGACUAUUGGGAAGUGUGUAUUGCUUACGAAACUGUUGCUUGCAGUUACAGCUCUUAGGAGGAUAGUGAUGAUUUGCAAGCUAGCAACAAGACAAUUGAGUGCUAAUUAAAUUAGAUUUGGUAAAUACAAGGAAUAUCAGAAAUAUUGUGCUAAUCUAUU